AGGGUUCGAUUAUGGCUCAGGACGAACGCUGGCGGCGCGCCUAACACAUGCAAGUCGAACGAGAGAGAGGAAGCUUGCUUCCUCAAUCGAGUGGCGAACGGGUGAGUAACGCGUGAGGAACCUGCCUCAAAGAGGGGGACAACAGUUGGAAACGACUGCUAAUACCGCAUAAGCCCACAGGUCGGCAUCGACCAGAGGGAAAAGGAGCAAUCCGCUUUGAGAUGGCCUCGCGUCCGAUUAGCUAGUUGGUGAGGUAAUGGCCCACCAAGGCGACGAUCGGUAGCCGGACUGAGAGGUUGAACGGCCACAUUGGGACUGAGACACGGCCCAG
Molecule: ribosomal RNA, 331 nt
Filed under: uncultured bacterium
Lineage: Bacteria
Description: bacterial SSU rRNA
Rfam family: Bacterial small subunit ribosomal RNA
Source: RNAcentral